CGCGGCUCUGUGUCCCCUGCUAGCCGUAGGCCGUGUGACCCGCAGGCACCGGGAGAUCCAGAAGUGAAACGCCAGGCUCUCUGGAGGCCAGGAGAUGACACUGUUGACGUUCAGGGAUGUGGCCAUAGAAUUCUCCCUGGAGGAGUGGAAAUGCCUGGACCUUGCUCAGCAGAAUUUGUACAGGGAUGUGAUGUUGGAGAACUACAGAAACUUGUUCUCCGUUGGUCUCACUGUCUCUAAGCCAGGCCUGAUCACCUGCCUGGAGCAACGAAAAGAGCCCUGGAAUGUGAAGAGACAGGAGGCAGCAGACGGACAUCCAGCAUCCGCAAACGUUUAGCUUGUCUUUAUAUCUUGACAAUUGUGAAUAAUGCUGCAGUGAACAUGAGGGAGCAGAUAAUUCUUCAAGAUGCUGCUUUUAUUCCCUUCAGUUAUUAUAUACACAGAAGUGUGAUUGCUGCGUUGCAGGGUAGGUUUAUCUUUUUUUAACUUUUAAAUAACGCCCCUCCACCCUGGUUUUCAUAAUGACUCUACCAGUUGAGAACUCUGAGCGUUCAGAAUUGUUUUUUCUUUACAUCCUUAUCA
RNAcentral lists this small RNA (582 nucleotides) under Pan troglodytes (chimpanzee). Its description in RNAcentral is "retained intron". The record is from RNAcentral. Lineage: Eukaryota; Metazoa; Chordata; Mammalia; Primates; Hominidae.